GAUGAACGCUGGCGGCGUGCCUAAUACAUGCAAGUCGAGCGAACGGACGAGAGGCUUGCUUCUCUGAUGUUAGCGGCGGACGGGUGAGUAACACGUGGAUAACCUACCUAUAAGACUGGGAUAACUUCGGGAAACCGGAGCUAAUACCUGAUGAUAUUUUGAACCGCAUGGUUCAAAAGUGAAAGACGGUCUUGCUGUCACUUAUAGAUGGAUCCGCGCGGCAUUAGCUAGUUGGUAAGGUAACGGCUUACCAAGGCAACGAUGCAUAGCCGACCUGAGAGGGUGCUAGGCCACACGGGAACUGAGACACGGUCCAGACUCCUACGGGAGGCAGCAGUAGGGAAUCUUCCGCAAUGGGCGAAAGCCUGACGGAGCAACGCCGCGUGAGUGAUGAAGGUCUUCGGAUCGUAAAACUCUGUUAUUAGGGAAGAACAUAUGUGUAAGUAACUGUGCACAUCUUGACGGUACCUAAUCAGAAAGCCACGGCUAACUACGUG
This 497-nucleotide ribosomal RNA is filed under the name uncultured bacterium. Its description in RNAcentral is "partial 16S ribosomal RNA". It matches the Rfam family "Bacterial small subunit ribosomal RNA", at positions 28 to 507 of the family's 1533-position model. The record is from RNAcentral.